GGCCCCGUAGUUCAAUGGAUAGAAUGGGGGAUUCCUAAUCCCUUGAUCCAAGUUCGAUUCUUGGCGGGGCUA
Molecule: transfer RNA, 72 nt
Filed under: Bacteroidota bacterium
Lineage: Bacteria; Pseudomonadati; Bacteroidota
Description: Bacteroidetes bacterium (hydrothermal vent metagenome) tRNA-Arg
Rfam family: tRNA
About the family: Transfer RNA (tRNA) molecules are approximately 80 nucleotides in length.
Source: RNAcentral